UCCCAGCAAACAUACCUAUAUCGGGCCGAUAUCGGCUAAAUGUCGGAAUAUCGAAGUCGGCUUUCCGCCAUCGAACCGAUAUAUAUCCGAUAUAGACAAACUUGUUAAAGACAGGAUGAUAUCGGUCCGAUAUAGGUCCAAUAUACAUUUAUUUCCUGUUAUUCAAUUAAAUGAGUUUUUUUAGUAUAUUCUUCUCAAAUUCAUUUCAGCAAGAAAUCGAUGCUUUUGUAAAGAGUAAUUAAGUCGUUUUCAUAAAAAAUACUUCGGUGCUAUAUCGGCUCCAUGUCUGUUGCCGAUUUAGUCUAUAAGUGAUUUGCACAACGUGGUAUUUUUCUAGCCCACCUGCCAUCAGAAGAAGUUUGCGCUAAAACUAAAAAGAGUGGAUUUUUUCUCAAAUACUACUGGUAAAUUUAUAAAUUACUUAUGCUUUUGAAUAAAUUCAUUGUUGUAGUAUUCGGCGUCAUUGAUAUUUUGCACGUAGGUUUGGGAAUUUCAUAGUUAUCUCGCCGAAAAUUAUUUUGCAAUACAUUUUCGCGACCGUUUUUAAAUUGUUGCCUGAAAUUUAGCGGCUGAGAGAGAAAAAAUAUCAAAUUAUAAUUUUCUUUUUAUUUUUCUUAAAAGUUAUAAUUAUGAUAGAGAUGUCAAAUGAAAGUUUUAAUCAGAAAUAAUGAAACGUUGAUUACUCUAAAAGAAAUAGAUAGUGCCUGCUUGCCUUUUGAAAGGACACUUUUCUUAUUAUAGUCCUUUAGUAAUAAAAAUGUGAAUAUAUUAUUAUGUUGAUAUAUUUUCUUAAUGUUUGAAACAUUAAUGAUUCAUUUCAGGUAAAUCAUCUGUCUGUGACAUGACAAACAUACCUGACUCAGAGUGCUGACAACUGAAAUAGCUAGUUUUGGAGAAAGAAAAUGUCAUUUUAGAAGCUAAAGAUGACCAAUUGAUGCAAUACAGAGUCCUAAGCAAUACUAAGAAUGAAAUCUAGUGAAAAAGAGGGCAACAGUCAUCGAGCUGAAAUUCAAUAGCAGGAAAUAGCUCAUCUGGCAAAUGAUCAAGACAUAGUGGAAAUAAAGAACUGUAAAAAACUAAACAAUUGAAGAAGUUCAUAUAUAUUGGGACUCCUGGAGGAACCAUGCACAAUUGACACUUGACAUUAUUAACUCGUGUACAAAUUACAAAAUGCUGUUAAACUAUUCAACAUGAUAAUGUGAAAAAAGUCAGCUAUUCUUUUAAAGUUUUACUCAAACUCGUAAUAACUGGAGUAUGAAUCAAUGUGCACAAUCUAAAAUACAGUUACUAAAUAUAUCAGAGAUAACAGCUUGGCACUUUCUAGACAGAUUUUAAGUCUACAGAAUGUAAAAAAGCAAAGGAACAAGUAAGAAAAAUGACAUUGAGCUUAUUUUAUCUAAACAAAAAGUAGUAUAUACAUAGCAAGGUUGUAUUUGCCAGUCACAUGACUUAAGUAUUUUUGUUAAAACAAUUUAAUUUUGUCUGAUCUUUAUAGGAAACAUGUAAAGAUUAAUGUUUAAAUUUUUAUGUGUGUUUGCAAGGAAAUAUCGUAAGUUAAACAUACAUGGGUUUUAAACAUUGAAGUAUGUAUGUGUAAAUUAUAAAAUAUAUUGUGUAUAUGAAUUUUUAAUUUUGCUGAUGUAAUAAAAGGUAUUGCAAAAUAAAUAUAUGUUCUGUUAUACGUUAAGGAAAGCAAACCAAUAUGCUGUAAGAAAUAAAAAAGCUUAUUAUGAAUGAAGGUAACAAAUCGGCUGUAAGUCGGUACCCGAUAUCGGCAUCCGAUAUCGGCCCGACUUUGAGCCUGGUUGCACAUCCGAUGUCGAGCCGACUUCGGAUGCCGAUAUCGGGCCGACAUUGAAGAUGAUAUCGGGCCGACAUCGGUCCUAUAUGUAAUGUUUG
Molecule: long non-coding RNA, 1899 nt
Organism: Ruditapes philippinarum (Manila clam)
Lineage: Eukaryota; Metazoa; Mollusca; Bivalvia; Venerida; Veneridae
Exons: 2
Source: RefSeq, a predicted model, not a curated record